UAAUGAAAGAACUUCGGAAAAGUUUAAUGGCUUCUAACAGAAAAUGGGUGCGCAGACCCUUAUAAAGGCAUUUUUACAUCACUGAAGAAUUCAAGAUAACAGCAAAUAAACUUUAAUAAUUGGUCCAGGUGUUAAGUGGUUAGUUAGAUACCCUCCCAUCAAGAGGUGAUGUCAUCCUUGACACGGGGGUGGACACGAGAUGUAGGCGCCAUCUUGACUCGAUGGGAGGGGUGCUUUGGCAGCCAUUUUGAGUAGUU
This is a non-coding RNA of Pelobates cultripes (western spadefoot toad), 257 nucleotides long. NCBI's taxonomy places the organism in Eukaryota, Metazoa, Chordata, Amphibia, Anura, Pelobatidae. The record is from the annotation of a GenBank genome assembly.